Molecule: ribosomal RNA, 253 nt
Filed under: uncultured bacterium
Lineage: Bacteria
Description: partial 16S ribosomal RNA
Rfam family: Bacterial small subunit ribosomal RNA
Source: RNAcentral
UACGUAGGGGGCAAGCGUUGUCCGGAUUCAUUGGGCGUAAAGAGCGUGUAGGCGGCCAGGUAGGUCGGUUGUGAAAACUGGAGGCUCAACCUUCAGAGGUCGACCGAAACCAUCUGGCUAGAGUCCGGGAGAGGAGAGUGGAAUUCCUGGUGUAGCGGUGAAAUGCGCAGAUAUCAGGAGGAACACCGGUUGCGAAGGCGGUUCUCUGGGCAUGUCCUGACGCUGAGGAGCGAAAGUGUGGGGAGCGAACAGG